Molecule: long non-coding RNA, 1196 nt
Organism: Mauremys mutica (yellowpond turtle)
Lineage: Eukaryota; Metazoa; Chordata; Testudines; Geoemydidae
Exons: 5
Source: RefSeq, a predicted model, not a curated record
GGCCAAGUCACAGGAAGAGGCAGGCCACUGCAGAUGUGGAGCACUCAAUAGCAGCAGACCCCAGUGCUGAGACAGCUGCUACGCCACAGCUAUUGUUGAGGAGAUGCCAUUGAAAAGAAGUCAUGGAAGAGAAGAGAUGUGUAUAAUAGCGACUAGGUCACCCAACUUGCUUCCAUCAAAGAGAGAAUUCACAGCACUGCAGAGACAAGUACAUGGCCCUCCUGGUACUGAUACAGCAGCAGCCACCGGCAACUCCCACUAUGACCCAGAGGCAGCACAGUCCUGUUCCCUGACCUCCACCCCAGCUCAGCAGAGACCGGGUACACAGGACACCCCAACAUGAGCCAUCCCUUCACUCUGCACAGAAGAUGAGAGGCUCCUGGUCCUGAGUAGCUUGCCCAGGGUGGUGAGCAGCAGGCAGGAAUAAUUGCAUACCGAGGCCCAAGUCCUCACUUUUGUGUUAUGUCGUGUAAGGAGUUCUGCAAUCCCUCACUGACAUGGACCAGGGAGCCUGAUCCUGAGGACCUUUGGGCACAGUGCUUGAGAGGGCAAUGUUUUCAUCCUCCACUUCCCAGGCAGCCCCAGGAAAGAAAAAAUAAAUAUCCAGGAAUCGCAAAUCUGCUCACAAGAGAAGAGAAGGACCCUUUGGAUCUGUUAAGCAGAAUUUCAGCUGAAGAAAAAGAAGCUGUCACUUGCUGACUGUCAGCACGGAGCUUUCAAGCAGCUACACAGCCUCUUAGUAGAGUAGGUGGGAGGUAUUAAUAAAGGAGCAUAGCUCCCCAUUGUCUGUUCUGCUCAUGUGUGCAUAACUUGUGUACCCAUGUGUAGUAAGAUUAAACACCUGUGUGCUCACCUUUGGAGGAAUCUGAAGUCUUUAUGACUGUUUAACUGUAGCAUUUCCCAGUGCCAUUACCUACUGGUACAACCACUGCUACAUUCUUUAUUAGGACAGAGCAGAGAAUUCAGAAAAACCUUUGGCACAUGAGAUUUUUACAAUCAGUUGAAUGUUAGGGUUUGUGCCUUCUCUACAGAGUAAAGCUUCUUGGUUGCACUGAUUCAUAGAUCCAGAGUGGAACCCCCUUCUAAUCAACUCUUAUGGUGAAGAUCUGUUUAAAGUGGAAUAAAAAGUCUCAAACAUUUUCAGUUGAUUGCAAUGUGCAGACUUCAGUUCCAGUUAGUGCAAGCCCUUAGCUAUA